GGGGGCGUACCCCAAACGCAGAGGCAUACAAACGGUAGAGCCCUAUCUCCAUGAGGUAGAGGUCCUUGGUUCGACUCCAAGCGCCCGCUCCA
Molecule: transfer RNA, 92 nt
Filed under: Ardenticatenales bacterium
Lineage: Bacteria; Bacillati; Chloroflexota; Ardenticatenia; Ardenticatenales
Description: tRNA-Met
Source: RNAcentral